GACAGAGGGUGCAACCGUUGUUCGGAAUCACUGGGCGUAAAGCGUGUGUAGGCGGCUAAGAAAGUCGGAUGUGAAAGCCCCGGGCUCAACCCGGGAAGUGCACUCGAUACUGCUUAGCUCGAGUAUCGGAGAGGUUGGUGGAAUUCUCGGUGUAGAGGUGAAAUUCGUAGAUAUCGAGAGGAACACCGGUGGCGAAGGCGGAUCUCUGGGCCAUUACUGACGCUGAGGAGCGAAAGCGUGGGGAGCGAACAGG
This 253-nucleotide ribosomal RNA is filed under the name uncultured bacterium. RNAcentral's name for it is "partial 16S ribosomal RNA". It matches the Rfam family "Bacterial small subunit ribosomal RNA", at positions 524 to 776 of the family's 1533-position model. The record is from RNAcentral.